This 424-nucleotide ribosomal RNA is filed under the name uncultured prokaryote. RNAcentral describes it as "bacterial SSU rRNA". It matches the Rfam family "Bacterial small subunit ribosomal RNA", at positions 355 to 796 of the family's 1533-position model. The record is from RNAcentral.
UGGGGAAUCUUGCACAAUGGGCGCAAGCCUGAUGCAGCAACGCCGCGUGCGGGAAGAAGGCCCUAGGGUUGUAAACUGCUUUUGCGUGGGACGAUAACGACGGUACCACGCGAAUCAGCCCCGGCUAACUCUGUGCCAGCAGCCGCGGUAAUACAGAGGGGGCAAGCGUUGUCCGGACUUACUGGGCGUAAAGCGCACGCAGGUGGUAACGCAAGUGGGGUGUGAAAGCCGCCAGCUUAACUGGCGGAGGCCAUCCCAAACUGCGUCACUUGAGGCCUGUAGAGGUAUGUGGAAUUGCCGGUGUAGUGGUGAAAUGCGUAGAGAUCGGCAGGAACACCCAGGGGGAAACCAGCAUACUGGACAGGUCCUGACACUCAGGUGCGACAGCGUGGGGAGCGAACCGGAUUAGAUACCCGCGUAGUCC